RNAcentral lists this microRNA (25 nucleotides) under Equus caballus (horse). Its description in RNAcentral is "eca-miR-9094". Lineage: Eukaryota; Metazoa; Chordata; Mammalia; Perissodactyla; Equidae. The record is from miRBase by way of RNAcentral.
UCACCCGUGUCCUUUCUCUGCCUAG